Molecule: ribosomal RNA, 666 nt
Filed under: Triticum aestivum (bread wheat)
Lineage: Eukaryota; Viridiplantae; Streptophyta; Magnoliopsida; Poales; Poaceae
Description: partial small subunit ribosomal RNA
Source: RNAcentral
AUGUGUAGCUGGAACCUUACUACAUCUGGGUCUUUCACUGUAGACUCUAUGUACCGUGCGCUCACACAUUCUGAGGUACCUGUUAGUAAUAAUAAGAAAAUUUGGAAAUCCAAGAUUCCACUAAAAGUGAAAAUUUUCAUGUGGUAUCUUCAUAGGGGGGUUGUGUUAACUAAAGACAACCUCGCACGACACAACUGGCAAGGGAGUAAGAAGUGUUGUUUUUGUACUCAUGACGAGACAAUCAAACACCUCUUUUUUCAAUGCAAGUUUGCACGUUCUACGUGGUCAGUCAUCCAAACAACGUCAAAUUUGCAUCCACCCUCAAGUGUUGCCAAUAUUUUUGGUCAUUGGUUGGACGGUAUUCCAAAUAGUUUCAAAACGCUAAUAAGGGUGGGAGCGUAUGCCUUAAUUUGGUCGCUUUGGCUAUGUAGAAAUGAUUUGAUUUUCAAUGAAAAAAUGCUUCUUCUUUGCAGGUUAUUUUCUGGUGUACGCACUCGCUACGUCCGUGGUCUAUUCUACAACGACCGGAGUACCAACCGCUGUUCAAGGCGGUGUGUACGCGAUUGGAGCAGGUGGCUAUGGAGGUUUUUUCCCGACAUGGGUGGCAGCAUAAUCUUCGGAUCGACCCACCACCUCCUUCGACAUAGGCAUAGUGUCGGUCUAUAG